Molecule: long non-coding RNA, 450 nt
Filed under: Glycine max (soybean)
Lineage: Eukaryota; Viridiplantae; Streptophyta; Magnoliopsida; Fabales; Fabaceae
Description: long non-coding RNA (GMAX_LNC000234)
Source: RNAcentral
CCAGAGUCACAUGUCCCUCAGGAGUCAGUAGCAGCAUCGACACAUGCCGAUUUUGAUGCCGACAAGCCCAGACAUGCAGUGAUAAGUGUUACUAUUUGGUUAGAUGUAUGUCAUUUACUUGAAUGAUUUUAAUACUAAUUUGUAUAAUUCGUUUGUUUUUAAUUUAACAGGAGGUUUGUCAUGCCAUCGCCGAGACGUUGGAGCAUCAUCUCAGCCUAAAUGAAGUCACGCCAGGCACAUCGACAUAUGAGGUCAUCCAAAAAUGCCUCAGGAUUGUCAGGGGUGUUACAGAAGACCGCAAUGUGUAUGUGAGGUCUCAACACACGUGGUGCACGGAUCAACCAUAGUUUAUUCACACCUUUGAUAUUAUUAGUUUUGGACAAUGUAUUUGAUUGAACAUUUGGUAUAUUUUAAGUUAUUUUGAUUAAUAAUAUUAACGUUAAUGUUUAC